Small nucleolar RNA from Ornithorhynchus anatinus (platypus), 138 nucleotides. The record is from RefSeq and is a predicted model, not a curated record. NCBI's taxonomy places the organism in Eukaryota, Metazoa, Chordata, Mammalia, Monotremata, Ornithorhynchidae.
ACCCUCUCAGGGUCACACCUGGAGAGUUUCCAGUACUCUACCAGUCUCGGUUAAGGGAGGGAAAGACAAGCUGAGGCCUAUCCAUUCCAUUCCUAGCUUGAACAGUGUCUAGCUAGUGGAAAGCAAUCUGCUACAAGU